AGUGGAACCGGAGCAGAUAUGGAUGUUGUUAUCUCUAGUGUCCGAGCGUAUAUUGGUGCAUUGAACAAAAUGUUGAGUUACGAAAAGCUGGUGUCAAGAUACAGCAAACCUGAAGACAGUGUGGUGGUAUAAGAAAAUGUUCGUAAUGUUCCAGUUUCUUGUCAUUUCUCUUGUCAAUUGUAUAGAACUAGGGGUGCCUUAUCAACAAAUUACGACUUGCCUGGAAGAACGAUAAAAGGCAAAUUUGAGUCGUAAUGCAUUUUCAUUUUCUGCAGGUUGAUGUACAAGCUUGUACUAAAUGUGUUAAAGUCAUUUUAGGCUUUGUGUUGUACCAAUCAAACACAGAUCCUUU
RNAcentral lists this unclassified non-coding RNA (352 nucleotides) under Hevea brasiliensis (rubber tree). The record is from RNAcentral. Lineage: Eukaryota; Viridiplantae; Streptophyta; Magnoliopsida; Malpighiales; Euphorbiaceae.